CUGGAACGACGGGCUGGCCUUCUGUGCUGUUCUCCACACCUACCUGCCUGCCCACAUCCCCUACCUGGAGCUCUCCAGCCAGGACAAGAAGCGAAAUUUCACACUGGCUUUCCAGGCCGCUGAAAGUGUCGGGAUCAAGUCCUCAUUGGACAUUGGAGAGAUGGUGCACACAGAGAGGCCUGACUGGCAGAGUGUGAUGACCUACGUCACUGCCAUCUACAAGUACUUUGAGACGUGACCCAUCUUCAAGCCUGAACACCUCGCUUGCCCACACGCACGUGUCCAGCCAGGGCUGUCAUCGCAACACUGGACAACCUUAGAGCAACAUCAGCCAAUGCUACCUGCGAAUAUGUCUGGGACCCUGAGUUCUACCUUAAGCUGCAUCACUUAACUUCACCAAUAUAUUCCAUGUUUACACUGCAAUGUUCUACAAACUCUUGGCUUGGGAUGCUCAUGUGGCUUCUCAGUUUGAUUGAAUUCGUCAGACUAGGCUGUGGAUAGACUGAGGCCAUGGGUUGAACUGUCCUUCAACUUUCCCUGGGUCAGUGACUUCCUGUAUACUCAAGUCUUCUGGCCUCUUGACCCCAGUCCUAUGUCCUACUGUCUGCAGUAGCCUACACCAUCAUUACCUCCAACUUUACACUGUAGUUCAUGUUUAGCUAGCUGAAACAAUGUGUAUGGUUUUGGAUUUGGAAUACUGCGGAGAACAGGAUUGCCUUUUUAAAAUGCCUUUGGCUUUGUCCAUUUUGUCUCUUCGCACAAUGACUUGAGGGUAAGUGUGAUUUACCUGACUGACAGAGGGUCCAGCUUAACUGUAGCUGUUCUAACAAGGCUGUUUUAGCCCAAUGCUUUGCUGUGAUAUUUAUUCCAAAGAGAUAAUAACUUCAUACGAAUCAAUGCCAUGUUUGUCUCUUGUUUUUGCCAAUUAUGACAAUGAGCAUUGACCCAUUAGGGAUAUUAAUAAUACAUAGUGCUUUUUGAAGGACCCAAAGUCAGAGUUCAAUCGCAUUGACGUCUUUUACGCCAGUUAUUAUUUGUCUCAGUCCGUUGUGUCCAAACUCUGUAAGCGUGAUGGUUGACCACCACGGCCAGUCUCUGGUUUUACAGUGAGGUCCCUGUAACACACCCAUCCAUAAUGGUUGUACAGUGAGGUCCCUGUAGCACACCCAUCCAUAAUGGUUGUACAGUGAGGUCCCUGUAGCACACCCAUCCAUAAUGGUUGUACAGUGAGGUCCCUGUAGCACACCCAUCCAUAAUGGUUGUACAGUGAGGUCCCUGUAGCACACCCAUCCAUAAUGGUUGUACAGUGAGGUCCCUGUAGCACACCCAUCCAUAAUGGUUGUACAGUGAGGUCCCUGUUGCACACCCAUCCAUAAUGGUUGUACAGUGAGGUCCCUGUUGCACACCCAUCCAUAAAUAGGCUGAACAACACAGGGAGCUGACCUGAUAAGCUAACAGUUUAGGCAUUAAGGUAAAAGCACCACUUACUGUUCAGCAAAUCCUCCCUGGUUUCAAAGCACAACAAGGGGAUGUGAGGCUCUUUACUUAAAUGGAAUGUGUUUAAACCUUCAUCGAUGCCAUAGAAACCACCAUGUUUCAAAACCGUUGGGUGUACUACACACAGUAAAGUCCCUUCCUCCAGCACAGGGAAAUCAUAUUAGCUAUGCAUGUUCCCACACAUGGGAAAAGCUUACAAUCCUCAUUUGCUUUGAAAUAGUUAAAUAAGUAUGUAUGAGAACUUAUGAGUUGUGUUUUUGGUACAUUGGAAUAUUCUCCUUAUACUGAGAUACCAUGUGAAUAUUUCAUAACAUUUUGUUGCUCAUAAAGGCAUCUGAUAAGGUUUCCACAGCUAAGAUGAGCUACAGUCAUUUAAAUGGUACUAGUCAUUGCCAGGAAUCAAGGCUAAUAGACAGUGUAUAAAACAUUAGGAACACCUUCCCUCGGAAUAGCCUCAAUUCGUCAGGGCAUGGACUCUACAAGAUUGGCUUGUGGAGUCCAUGUUGGCUCCAAUGCUUUCCACAGUUGUGUCAAGUUGGCUGGAUGUCCUUGGGGUUGUGGACCAUUCUUGAUACACAAGGGAAACUGUUGAGCAUGAAAAAUCCAGCAGCGUUGCAGUUCUUGACACAAAACAGUGUGCCUGGCAGCUAGUUCCAUACCCUGUUCAAAGUCAGUCAAAUAUUUUGUCUCGUCCAUUUACCCUCUGAAUGGCACAUACACAAUCCAUGUCUUAAUUGUGUCAAGGCUUAAAAAUCUUUUAACCUGUCUCCUCCCCUUCAUCUACACUGAUUUAAGUGGAUUUAACAGGUGACAUCAAUAGGGGAUCAUAGACUGACCAGGUGGAUCCAGGGGAAAGCUAUGUCAUGGAAAGAGCAGUUGUUCUUAAUGUUUUGUAUUCUCACUGUAAAGUAAACGUUCCAGUUAGGGUAACUUGGUGUAACACGCACUCUGCCUGUACAUCUCACAGGAACCACUUCAUGUCACAAUUUUUCCCCAACACUUUCCCCUGGUUGUCACUGUUUCUCAACAAAAAAGUUAUAUUGGUCUCAUCACAAAAUGAUUUUGAGGUAGGGUGACGUUUU
RNAcentral lists this long non-coding RNA (2579 nucleotides) under Salmo salar (Atlantic salmon). RNAcentral's name for it is "lncRNA (ENSSSAG00000082706.1, ENSSSAG00000116594.1)". The record is from RNAcentral. Lineage: Eukaryota; Metazoa; Chordata; Actinopteri; Salmoniformes; Salmonidae.